This 61-nucleotide transfer RNA is filed under the name Ixodes nipponensis. RNAcentral describes it as "tRNA-Ala". Lineage: Eukaryota; Metazoa; Arthropoda; Arachnida; Ixodida; Ixodidae. RNAcentral also lists the same sequence under 1 other name. The record is from RNAcentral.
AGAAAAGUAUUUAAAUAUAUAAAAUCUAACUUGCAAUUAGAAAUUGAUCUUUCCUUUUCUA